Molecule: long non-coding RNA, 454 nt
Filed under: Pongo abelii (Sumatran orangutan)
Lineage: Eukaryota; Metazoa; Chordata; Mammalia; Primates; Hominidae
Description: lincRNA
Source: RNAcentral
GUGACUCCUUCGAGCCUUCCAGAAAGCAUGUGAGAAGGAAGCCCUACUCUACUACCAAGGUGACUUCAGGGAGCACAUUCAAGGGUACGUAUUCUGGAAUCACUCACUGGCUGUUAGAAAAAGAUUCUAUAGGAAAUCUGGAGCCUAACUGCUGGCUUUUGUCUGGAGAGCCUCCAUGAUCCAGGACACCUGGUGGGAAUGAGGAUGUGGAGUAUAGUAAAAGAAACUGGUUUUCCAGGUGACAAGCUCUUUUUAUCUAUGUAUAGUUCCUGGGAACAUGUUCACAUUAGGUGGUGUUCACAUUAGGUUGUGUGUGGGUAUGUGUGUAUUAGGGCAGGGGUGGGGUGAGGUGGUCUGUGUGCAAGUCUUCAUGAUUUGUUUGUGAAUGUGUGUCUAUGUGUGUUUCCCCUAGAAAAAAAUGUUGUGUUUACCCAGCACAACUCUCAGUGCCAUU